AUGCUUGAGCUGGCCAAGAGCGCGGAGAUGUGG
RNAcentral lists this small RNA (33 nucleotides) under Propionibacterium australiense. RNAcentral describes it as "CRISPR_Spacer". The record is from RNAcentral. Lineage: Bacteria; Bacillati; Actinomycetota; Actinomycetes; Propionibacteriales; Propionibacteriaceae.